GCUUAAUUUAAUCCCUGUAAUAGCAGUCUGGUUUUCCUUCUUCUGCUUUUUCUAUGCUUAAGUAAGAUAUGACUUCUACCUUAACAGCAAAGAUUACCAAAGAUGUGACCCGUUUUUCAUAGUUUCCGGAGAAAGUUAAGUGUACGGAAUCGGUCUCACAUGUUGUACCGUGGUAAUGUUCUUGGAAAACUUACCACCUUAAUUACUUUAAUUUCCUUUGUUAGGCAUGCACGUAGGAAGGGGCGGAGCUAGGUGGGCAGAAGUGGUUCAGCCAAAUCCCCUUUGCCGAAAUCCCCUUUGCCGAAAGAUGCAAAUAUUCCUUCAAGUUCAGUUUCAACAUCUGGGACCAGUGGUUUGGAUGAUAAUGAUGGUGUUAAAGAUUAUUUGAUUUGGUCUACACUAGGACAGCAUCAACAAACUAGUAGCAGGAAUAUUGAUGAACUUCAAUUCUGCAAAAGUCAGCAGAGCCCUGCACUAAGGGAUUUCUACCACUGGGUUGGUGGAGGAGUAACUCAAAUCAAUUUUCUGUCUUUCGGCCAUGGCUCGAGACGUGCUAAAUGUGCUGAUUUCAACAGUCGCAUCAGAGAGCGCAUUUAG
This is a non-coding RNA of Nicotiana tabacum (common tobacco), 597 nucleotides long. The record is from RefSeq and is a predicted model, not a curated record. NCBI's taxonomy places the organism in Eukaryota, Viridiplantae, Streptophyta, Magnoliopsida, Solanales, Solanaceae.